GUAAGAAUUAGUAGGCUAGUGAUAGACAUUUGAGGACACCAUUCUCUUCUGCCAGGGAGUGACUUGGCACAGCCGCUGGAGAGGAUGAGAAGACCAAGGGGAAGGGAAAGAACAUGUCCUUCUGGUGACUGUGCAGCGGCUCUGGCAGUCAUUGCCUGGGUCCCAGGCUGGGAGCAGACGUGCCAGUUCCAGAGACUGCUUGUGCAGAGGGGAGCCAGCCCCGGAGACGAAUGGGAAGCUAAAUGUUGGUCAACCUUGUGGGCCACCAAAGCCACCACAGUUCUUAUAGAGUCAGCCUAGAUCCACUAGAGAUCAGGCUCCAAAGAGCCUGGAUCCUCAAGGCCUUUGCUCCCGAGCCAAGAAAUUCCUAGCUUUGUUAGUGGUGGGAACAGAGCCAGAGGGAAAUCAGCUUUGCUUAUGAGGUGAGGGAGAGAAGGGAAACUGGGAACUUGGAGGUUAGAAUGAGGCCCAGGGAAGGGAGAGAGAGAGAGUUUGGAGAAAAUGCCCUGUGCUUCCUGUGGUGUGCCCCCCCACCCCCACCCCGCCCUUCCCUCUCCAUGCGUCUGCCUUGGGCUGGACGUGAUUCCUCAGAGGGCCUGAGACAGGCUGUGAGGCCAAACCCGCUGUGCCGAUCUCAGCUCCAGUCAAGGGGCAGAAAAGAAGACAUGCUCUUCUUGGUCAGAAAAAGGACAAAAUCAGUAGCUGAAGAAAGAGGCAAGAUUCAGAUGAUUUGUAGGGAAUUCCUCCUGUGGUGGGCACUCAGGAGCCACUUCCAGCUGAGGAGCUUGCUGCGAGCCUGGCACGGGCCUGACCUCCUUCCUUCCCAAGAGGAAAGGGAGGGCCACCACCUACCCAGGCAGGAUGUGGGGGAGAAACCUGACAUCCUUCGCAGACCUGCUCGCUCGCCCCCGAACCUGCCCUCAUCGGCUCCACCUGCUCUCCUGAAGGUAGCCUGGACUCAGCGCUCUGAGAGGCGUCCUGCAGAGCGCGCGGAAAAUGUGGCUUUUGCAGGGCUGGGUCUGUCCACCUACUGCAGUGCCCAAAGUCCGAUGCCCUCCACAGUUUGGCCAAAUCUACUUUGCCGGCCUCGUCUCCGCGAUUUCCUCCCUGGGGUAGACUAGGGUUAGAGCCGGACGGGUGGGGAGCCGAGGCAAACAAACAACUCUGGGCGUGUCAGCCCCGCCCCGACCAGGGCACUGCCGAGUCGGGAUUGGCUGAUGUCGCCUGUAUUCUGGUUGGUCGGGGGAGGGUGCUCAUUCACAGGGAGCGCUGCUCCACUCGGGCUGGAAGUUUCCUACGCUGCUUCGCUUUCUGCACUCUGCACAAAAGUUGUACCACCUUGUAUGUAAACAGAUAAAAUCAAGUUAUCUAAUGUGCCUCCGAAUAUAACGUUGGCCCCUUGAAGGAUGGCCGAAUCUGUCAGCUUGCUGUAUCCUAUUUCUAAAUCACACACGUGAGGGUGAGUGGGGAGAGGCUUGCGGGAAGAUGCUGGGGGCUGCGGUUUGUCUCCCCCGGGGGAGGCUAUGGCUUACCUGGGGGCCGUUUGUUGGGUUAGCUUUUCAGAAGACGCAUUUCCCCUUUCUAUCAUCUACACUUACACUUCACAUUUCCCUGCCUUCUGUCGUGCUGUUCCACAUGGUAGGGGUGCUUUUCCUUCUCAUUUAUUUUUGUUGCUCUUGUUGGUUUUUUUUUCAACUUUUUAUUUUGUAUUUGAGUAUAGCCGAUUAACGGGCUUUCCCGGUGGUUCAGCGG
This is a long non-coding RNA of Bos taurus (domestic cattle), 1752 nucleotides long. NCBI's taxonomy places the organism in Eukaryota, Metazoa, Chordata, Mammalia, Artiodactyla, Bovidae. The record is from Ensembl.